CAGUGUUACAGCUCUUUUAGAAUUAAUCUAGCAGGUUUUUUGGAUUUUACUAUAACUGCUGCCCCC
This 66-nucleotide small nuclear RNA is filed under the name Microcebus murinus (gray mouse lemur). RNAcentral describes it as "U7 small nuclear RNA (ENSMICG00000044090.1)". It matches the Rfam family "U7 small nuclear RNA". Rfam says of the family: Animal histone pre-mRNAs are spliced by a different mechanism than nuclear pre-mRNAs and self-splicing introns. Lineage: Eukaryota; Metazoa; Chordata; Mammalia; Primates; Cheirogaleidae. The record is from Rfam by way of RNAcentral.